ACAUUUGUAGAUAUGAACAAAUAAUCAAUAUAUAAUUGUAAUAGGCAUAUUAUGGGUCCCUAUAUAUAAACUAGCUCAUAUUGCAAAUGUAAGUUCACAAAAUAUCAUGUGAUUUCAUUUGUACAAUGUAUAACAAAAUACAAGAUGAAUGAUUGUGAUCAUAAUCUAGAUUUAACACCUGUUCACAUGUAAAUGUAUAGACAUGUAUUGACUGAUAGCUUGGGGUUUGACAUCUUAACAUAUCUUUAAUGCAUAUUCAAGACAAAAUAUAUAUAUGGUGUAGUGGCAGAUUGAUUGGGUAGGGGGCAGGUCCCCUCACCAAGAUACAUAUAUUUUUUAAUGCAUAGUCUUUUUUUAAAUGUUGCUUUCUCAGCUUUGAGUAGUUUGGAACGCUCCCUUUUUUUUU
Molecule: long non-coding RNA, 406 nt
Filed under: Mytilus galloprovincialis (Mediterranean mussel)
Lineage: Eukaryota; Metazoa; Mollusca; Bivalvia; Mytilida; Mytilidae
Source: RNAcentral